CUGCAACUCGCCUGCAUGAAGUCGGAAUUGCUAGUAAUCGCAGAUCAGAAUGCUGCGGUGAAUGCGUUCCCGGGUCUUGUACACACCGCCCGUCACACCAUGGAAGUUGGGGGUNCCCAAAGUCGGUUAGAAAAUAAACUGCCUAAGGCAAAACCAAUGACUGGGGUGAAGUCGUAACAAGGUACC
Molecule: ribosomal RNA, 186 nt
Filed under: uncultured bacterium
Lineage: Bacteria
Description: partial 16S ribosomal RNA
Rfam family: Bacterial small subunit ribosomal RNA
Source: RNAcentral